GGAGAGGUAGCGUAGUCUGGCCUAACGCGCACGCCUGGAGAGCGUGUGUACCGCAAGGUACCGUGGGUUCGCAUCCCACCCGCUCCG
Molecule: transfer RNA, 87 nt
Filed under: Chloroflexota bacterium
Lineage: Bacteria; Bacillati; Chloroflexota
Description: Chloroflexi bacterium (anaerobic digester metagenome) tRNA-Ser
Rfam family: tRNA
About the family: Transfer RNA (tRNA) molecules are approximately 80 nucleotides in length. Their secondary structure includes four short double-helical elements and three loops (D, anti-codon, and T loops).
Source: RNAcentral